Molecule: ribosomal RNA, 433 nt
Filed under: uncultured bacterium
Lineage: Bacteria
Description: partial 16S ribosomal RNA
Rfam family: Bacterial small subunit ribosomal RNA
Source: RNAcentral
AACGAACGCUGGCGGCAUGCCUAACACAUGCAAGUCGAACGAGACCUUCGGGUUUAGUGGCGCACGGGUGCGUAACGCGUGGGAACCUGCCCUUAGGUUCGGAAUAACUCCCCGAAAGGGGUGCUAAUACCGGAUAAUGUCUUCGGACCAAAGAGUUAUCGCCUUUGGAUGGGCCCGCGUUGGUUUAGCUAGUUGGUAGGGUAAAAGCCUACCAAGGCGACGAUCCAUAGCUGGUCUGAGAGGAUGCUCAGCCACACUGGGACUGCGACACGGCCCAGAAUCCUACGGGAGGCAGCAGUGGAGAAUACUGGACAAUGGGCGAAAGCCUGAUACAGCCAUGCCGCGUGAGUGAUGAAGGCCUUAGGGUUGUAAAGCUCUUUUAGCCGGGAUGAUAAUGACAGUACCGGGAGAAUAAGCACCGGCUAACUCCGUG